This 460-nucleotide ribosomal RNA is filed under the name uncultured bacterium. Its description in RNAcentral is "partial 16S ribosomal RNA". It matches the Rfam family "Bacterial small subunit ribosomal RNA", at positions 338 to 795 of the family's 1533-position model. The record is from RNAcentral.
CCUACGGGUGGCAGCAGUGAGGAAUAUUGGUCAAUGGACGCAAGUCUGAACCAGCCAUGCCGCGUGCAGGAAUACGGCUCUUUGAGUUGUAAACUGCUUUCGUACGAGGGCAAACUCAGAUACGCGUACCUCUCUGAACGUAUCGUACGAAUAAGGUUCGGCUAACUCCGUGCCAGCAGCCGCGGCAAUACGGAGGAUUCAAGCGUUAUCCGGAUUUAUUGGGUGUAAAGGGUGCGUAGGCGGUCGGAUAAGUUAGAGGUGAAAUCCCGAGGCUCAACUUCGGAAUUGCCUCUGAUACUGUUCGGCUAGAGAGUAGUUGCGGUAGGCGGAAUGUAUGGUGUAGCGGUGAAAUGCUUAGAGAUCAUACAGAACACCGAUUGCGAAGGCAGCUUACCAAGCUACUUCUGACGUUGAGGCACGAAAGCGUGGGGAGCAAAAAGGAUUAGAUACCCUUGUAGUC